This 425-nucleotide ribosomal RNA is filed under the name uncultured bacterium. Its description in RNAcentral is "partial 16S ribosomal RNA". It matches the Rfam family "Bacterial small subunit ribosomal RNA", at positions 354 to 796 of the family's 1533-position model. The record is from RNAcentral.
GUGGGGAAUCUUAGACAAUGGGGGAAACCCUGAUCUAGCCAUGCCGCGUGAGCGAUGAAGGCCUUAGGGUUGUAAAGCUCUUUCAGCUGGGAAGAUAAUGACGGUACCAGCAGAAGAAGCCCCGGCUAACUCCGUGCCAGCAGCCGCGGUAAUACGGAGGGGGCUAGCGUUGUUCGGAAUUACUGGGCGUAAAGCGCGCGUAGGCGGACCAGAAAGUUGGAGGUGAAAUCCCAGGGCUCAACCGUGGAACUGCCUUCAAAACUCCUGGUCUGGAGUUAGAGAGAGGUGAGUGGAAUUCCGAGUGUAGAGGUGAAAUUCGUAGAUAUAGGAAGGAACACCAGUGGCGAAGGCGACUACCUGGACUGAUACUGACACUGAGGUGCGAAAGCGUGGGGAGCAAACAGGAUUAGAAACCCCUGUAGUCC